ACCCACCUGACUCCAUGCCGAACUCAGUAGUGAAACGAAGCAGCGCCGAUGGUAGUGUGGGGUCUCCCCAUGUGAGAGUAGGACAUCGCCAGGC
Molecule: ribosomal RNA, 94 nt
Filed under: Salinivibrio sp. SS2
Lineage: Bacteria; Pseudomonadati; Pseudomonadota; Gammaproteobacteria; Vibrionales; Vibrionaceae
Source: RNAcentral